RNAcentral lists this ribosomal RNA (445 nucleotides) under uncultured bacterium. RNAcentral describes it as "partial 16S ribosomal RNA". It matches the Rfam family "Bacterial small subunit ribosomal RNA", at positions 354 to 796 of the family's 1533-position model. The record is from RNAcentral.
GUGAGGAAUAUUGCGCAAUGGAGGCAACUCUGACGCAGCCAUGCCGCGUGCAGGAAGAAGGCGCUACGCGUUGUAAACUGCUUUUAACCGGGAAGAAACCCCAGGACGUGUCCUGGGUUGACGGUACCGGAGGAAUAAGCACCGGCUAACUUCGUGCCAGCAGCCGCGGUAAUACGAAGGGUGCAAGCGUUAUCCGGAUUCAUUGGGUUUAAAGGGUGCGUAGGCGGAGCGUUAAGUCAGUGGUGAAAUCCUGCAGCUUAACUGUAGACUUGCCAUUGGUACUGGCGCUCUUGAGUGCGCUUGAAGUGGGCGGAAUGUGCCGUGUAGCGGUGAAAUGCUUAGAUAUGGCACAGAACACCAAUUGCGAAGGCAGCUCACUAAGGCGAUACUGACGCUGAGGCACGAAAGCGUGGGGAUCGAACAGGAUUAGAUACCCGGGUAGUCC